This 67-nucleotide transfer RNA is filed under the name Conolophus subcristatus (Galapagos land iguana). RNAcentral's name for it is "tRNA-Arg". The record is from RNAcentral. Lineage: Eukaryota; Metazoa; Chordata; Lepidosauria; Squamata; Iguanidae.
UAGACGUUAGUCUAAACAAGACAGUUGAUUUCGACUCAACAGAUCUGGCUAAACACCGGACGCCUAC